RNAcentral lists this ribosomal RNA (137 nucleotides) under uncultured Trebouxiophyceae. RNAcentral describes it as "partial small subunit ribosomal RNA". It matches the Rfam family "Eukaryotic small subunit ribosomal RNA", at positions 1670 to 1804 of the family's 1831-position model. Lineage: Eukaryota; Viridiplantae; Chlorophyta; Trebouxiophyceae. The record is from RNAcentral.
CGCCCGUCGCUCCUACCGAUUGGGUGUGCUGGUGAAGUGUUCGGAUCGGCGGCGGCCGGCGCGCGAGCGCCUGCUGCCGUUGAGAAGUUCAUUGAACCCUCCCACCUAGAGGAAGGAGAAGUCGUAACAAGGUCUCC